CGAACGGGUGAGUAAUGCGUGACCAACCUGCCCCAUGCUCCAGAAUAGCUCUUGGAAACGGGUGGUAAUGCUGGAUGCUCCAACUUGACGCAUGUCUUGUUGGGAAAGUGUUUAGUGGCAUGGGAUGGGGUCGCGUCCUAUCAGCUUGUAGGCGGGGUAAUGGCCCACCUAGGCUUCGACGGGUAGCCGGCCUGAGAGGGCGGACGGCCACAUUGGGACUGAGAUACGGCCCAGACUCCUAGGGAGGCAGCAGUU
This 255-nucleotide ribosomal RNA is filed under the name uncultured Gardnerella sp. Its description in RNAcentral is "partial 16S ribosomal RNA". It matches the Rfam family "Bacterial small subunit ribosomal RNA", at positions 99 to 355 of the family's 1533-position model. Lineage: Bacteria; Bacillati; Actinomycetota; Actinomycetes; Bifidobacteriales; Bifidobacteriaceae. The record is from RNAcentral.